UUACUACACAUUAUGAUACCCCCACUGAC
RNAcentral lists this small RNA (29 nucleotides) under Bombyx mori (domestic silkworm). RNAcentral's name for it is "ovarian small RNA-36615". The record is from RNAcentral. Lineage: Eukaryota; Metazoa; Arthropoda; Insecta; Lepidoptera; Bombycidae.